GAAGGAAGUGGUAAGCUGCGUAAAGCUGCGGGGAUGGGCACACACGAAUUGAUCCGCAGAUGUCCGAAUGGGGCAACCCGGCAUGUUGAAGACUUGUCACUCUAAUUUAUUGGAGAGCAAACCCGGAGAACUGAAACAUCUAAGUACCCGGAGGAAAAGAAAUCGAAGAGAUUCCGUAAGUAGUGGCGAGCGAAAGCGGAUUAGCCCAAAAGCUCAUAUAUGUUUAAUAGAAUGUUCUGGAAAGAACAGCCGUAGAGGGUGAUAGCCCCGUAUAUGAAAGGCAUAUUUAAGUGAUAAAUGAGUAGGGCGGGACACGUGAAAUCCUGUCUGAAUAUGGGGGGACCAUCCUCCAAGGCUAAAUACUCCUGAAAGACCGAUAGUGAACAAGUACUGUGAAGGAAAGGUGAAAAGCACUUCGAAUAGAAGGGUGAAAGAGAACCUGAAACCGUACGCCUACAAGCG
Molecule: ribosomal RNA, 462 nt
Filed under: uncultured Flavobacteriaceae bacterium
Lineage: Bacteria; Pseudomonadati; Bacteroidota; Flavobacteriia; Flavobacteriales; Flavobacteriaceae
Description: bacterial LSU rRNA
Rfam family: Bacterial large subunit ribosomal RNA
Source: RNAcentral